Molecule: long non-coding RNA, 759 nt
Organism: Dendronephthya gigantea
Lineage: Eukaryota; Metazoa; Cnidaria; Anthozoa; Malacalcyonacea; Nephtheidae
Exons: 5
Source: RefSeq, a predicted model, not a curated record
GUAUACAGGUACGGGUAACCAUAUUUUGUUCAUUGGAAUUUUUUGUUGUUUGCACGUUUCUUGAUACAAUUCAUGCUCGCCACAAGAGGCUAAAGUCUACUUGAAAAUAAUUGUCGAGGUAAUCUUCGAAAAAGUUGAAUUGAGAAACACUGAUGGAAAUUCAUUGAACAAAAUAAGGUUACGCGUAUACCGGAACCAGGGUAUCUUAACCUCUGUAAUAUUUCAAUCAUUGUUGCUAGCGUCUUGAAAGUACACUGUACAAUCUCACCGAAAAAUAUAAUUUUUCUGGCAUAUUGAGUGUUGAUUUGAUUAACUUGAAUGGUCAGUUAAGUGAGCUCGUGCAGUCAAUCCUGUCUAAAAAAUGGUCAGAUCACAAAUCUGAGAGGCAAAGGCUUGGCAAAUGGGCUUGGAUUUGGAGGGGGUUCCAGCACUGCAAUUCCAUAAAAUGGCUCUACAAGGGACUUUUCUUAAUGAGGAUUACCUGAAUGCAGAAUACUGUACCCCUGAAUUUAAGAAUUUUUCUCUAAUCGCGCCAGUCAUGGUCAAACAAUAAUUGGCGCAUAUGUUACCACUCGGAGAAAAGCACCAAUGAUUUCACCAAACAAGUGACGCCAUGUCCACAGGAUCCAAGCCCAAGGAAAAAUAUGCUUAAUAUAUAGAGAUUACUUCAUCGUUGGCGAGUGCGUACGAUUUUUAUGCACGAGUUGUGAAGGAUCGUGCAUGGAGUGUAAUGAACAUACAGGGUGUCCCAAAAAAAUG